RNAcentral lists this transfer RNA (72 nucleotides) under Camelus bactrianus (Bactrian camel). It matches the Rfam family "tRNA". From Rfam's summary of the family: Transfer RNA (tRNA) molecules are approximately 80 nucleotides in length. Their secondary structure includes four short double-helical elements and three loops (D, anti-codon, and T loops). Lineage: Eukaryota; Metazoa; Chordata; Mammalia; Artiodactyla; Camelidae. The record is from Rfam by way of RNAcentral. RNAcentral also lists the same sequence under 2 other names.
GAGGGUGUAGCUCAGUGGUGGAGCACAUGCCUAGUAUGCAUGAGGUCCUGGGUUCAAUCCCCAGUACCUCUG